This 639-nucleotide ribosomal RNA is filed under the name uncultured bacterium. RNAcentral's name for it is "bacterial SSU rRNA". It matches the Rfam family "Bacterial small subunit ribosomal RNA", at positions 1 to 653 of the family's 1533-position model. The record is from RNAcentral.
AAUUCGAUUGUUUGAUCAUGGCUCAGGACGAACGCUGGCGGCGUGCUUAACACAUGCAAGUCGAACGGUGAUGAGGAGCUUGCUUCUCUGAUCAGUGGCGAACGGGUGAGUAACACGUGAGCAAUCUGCCCUUGACUCUGGGAUAAGCGUUGGAAACGACGUCUAAUACCGGAUACGACUCUUGGAGGCAUCUCUGGGGGUGGAAAGAAUUUUGGUCAAGGAUGAGCUCGCGGCCUAUCAGCUUGUUGGUGAGGUAAUGGCUCACCAAGGCGACGACGGGUAGCCGGCCUGAGAGGGUGACCGGCCACACUGGGACUGAGACACGGCCCAGACUCCUACGGGAGGCAGCAGUGGGGAAUAUUGCACAAUGGGCGAAAGCCUGAUGCAGCAACGCCGCGUGAGGGACGACGGCCUUCGGGUUGUAAACCUCUUUUAGUAGGGAAGAAGCGUAACAGUGACGGUACCUGCAGAAAAAGCACCGGCUAACUACGUGCCAGCAGCCGCGGUAAUACGUAGGGUGCAAGCGUUGUCCGGAAUUAUUGGGCGUAAAGAGCUCGUAGGCGGUUUGUCGCGUCUGCUGUGAAAACCCGAGGCUCAACCUCGGGCCUGCAGUGGGUACGGGCAGACUAGAGUGCGGUA